Helianthus annuus (common sunflower) is the source of this 3884-nucleotide RNA transcript. It is a transcript of the gene named protein MOR1, with no coding region annotated. The transcript has 13 exons. Lineage: Eukaryota; Viridiplantae; Streptophyta; Magnoliopsida; Asterales; Asteraceae. The record is from RefSeq and is a predicted model, not a curated record.
UUCUUAGUUGUGCUCUUUUUCAUCGCCGAAUGGUCAUCAGCUUCUUCCACUCUCCUAAAAAACCCCAAUCUCUGAAUCGCCACAUUCUUCUUCUUCACGCAUGUUGUUCAUCCUCUUCCUUCUGCUUCAAACCCUAAAACUCCAUCCGUACAGAGACGAUUCUUCAUCUAAUCAUCUUUCACCCCUACGAUUUGAAACCGGAUUUGAUUAAUCUCAACAAGGUUUUGGAAGCAGAGCGUGACUCAGCAAGUUCUUUUGAAGCAUUGCCGUUUCAUUAUGUUGAAAUCUCAAGGCUUCUUUUUGACCAUGCUCGCGAUGACAUGCCUGAAGUAUAUAUGGUAAGAUCACUUAUUGAAGACAUCUAGAUGUUCGGUUUCACAAAAUUGGUACCGGAUUGGAGAAGCUUUCAUCUCGGACAUACGCUUUGAAGGUAAAAUAGUUUGCACACCUUUCACAUUCGACAGAAGAUGUUUUGUUCUUGCACGAGCUGUGAUCACAAUAAUACUGAUCGAUCAUGAUUGGGACUUCGAUUUGGAUUAAUUUUAGUGUUUUUUGAUGUUUUUAGAGUUGUUGGUUGUAGGAGUCUUAGGAAUUAGGGUUUUUAUAGGAAAAAUUGACCCAGGUUUUGGAGGCAGAGCGUGACUCAGCAAGUUCUUUUGAAGCAUUGCUGUUUCAUUAUGUUGAAAUCUCAAGGCUUCUUUUUGACCAUGCUCGCGAUGACAUUCCUGCAAUGGUGGAUGCACAACUUUAUGCAAUCAGUGGGACUAUAGCUCAGUGGUACUUCUCCAUAGACGAUCCGAGGGUUAAACAUCAUAUGACGUUCUCUAAGGUUUAUUUUCUUGCAGUUUAUAGGUUCUACACAAUCAUAUGUAGAAGGGAUGCUAUAAAGAUAAUAUCUUUGUUCAUUUAUUGUAUGCUUUUUUUAUAAACGUAUUUGGCCUGUUCUCAGGAACAAUACGUUUUUUUAGGACUAUUGAUUGUUGUUGUACGAAUAGUGCGCAGGGCAGUUGUUACUGCAGCGAACGAAGAUGCAAGUGGGUUGAUCAACGUCGUUUUUAGAUGCUAUGUCAAUGCCCUAUUAUGGAGAUAAUUUCAACUUCAUUCAUGUUUGCUUUGUACGUGUGCUUGGUGUUGUUGGGGAACAUUGGAUGCAGAGUGUGAGAAAAAUCCUUUUGAGGGUGCAGCUGCUGCACCAAAAAAGACUGUUAAAGCAACAGAUUUUGUAUCUUCUGUGUGCUGUGGUGGUUUGGAUAGCUUGCCACGAGAGGAUAUAAGCAGAAAGAUAACACUGGCUCUUCUUAAAGGAUUGGAGAGUAAUGAUUGGAAGGCCCAUCUCGAAUCUAUUGAAGCAGUAAGUAAAAUUGUGGAUGAGGCUAACAAGCGUAUUCAGCCUACUGGAAUAGUGGAAUUGUUUGGGGCUCUUAGAGCUCGGUUAUAUGACAGCAACAAAAACUUAAUUACGGCUACACUGACUUCUAUAAGUGCUCUUGCAUCGGCUAUAGGACCUGGAGUAGAGAAGGCCAACAAUGUCAAUAGAUACGUCUAUCUUCAUUUAUAUAUAAAUAAGUUAGGUUAUUGUAAAUCCAAGAUUUAACAUUUAACAAUAAUAAUAAUAUAUGCUUUUCUUGCAGGGAAUUUUGUCCGGUGUUAUCAAAUGCCUUGGUGACAAUAAAAAGAGCACGAGAGAAUCUACCAUGAUAACUUUGGAUGCUUGGGUUGUUGUUACCCAUCUUGAUAAAAUGGUACCAUAUAUUACUGCUUCUUUGACUGAUGCUAAACUUGGGGCAGAAGGACGUAAGGACCUUUUUGACUGGUUGUCGAGGCAACUUACAGGAUUUGCAGAGUUACCUGAUGCCAUUCAGUUACUAAGACCAGUUGCUGUUUCUAUGAUGGAUAAAUCAGCAGAUGUUCGUAAAGCCGCAGAAGCGUGCCUUAGGGAUAUUGUUAGAGUUUGUGGAACAGAAAUGGUCAUGAAGAAUGUAAGAGAUAUUCAAGGUCCCGCGCUGGCGAUUGUUCUUGAACGGUUGAAGACACACAGUGCAUUUCCAGAAGUGCAUGAGAACACAAGAACAGUCCCAGCUGGACAACCAUCGAAAACAGGUUCAAAGAUUGGCAAAUCAAAUGGUCAUGCAUCAAGGCAUGGAAGCAGAUCUGUAUCUUCGGUAUUGAUAUACUAUCUGCUAUACUUUGUUCAUAUUAAUCUAUUAGUUAGGUUUUAUAACGGUUGAAUCUAAAGUACACGAUUGUGAUCUGUAAGUGACUUAUCAUCUCUAUAACAUUCUGGUUGUUUUGUAAUCCUUACUUAGUUCUCAAUCAUUAGGCCAAAGUUAGCUUCGGGCUCCGUUGAAUUAAGCACCCAACAAUUCGGAACUCUUUUAACCCAGUGACGAAUACAAGCGAAGCAACACAUUCUUGCAGGUGAUAUUUUCCAGAUUGUUUUAAGUCAGCGUUUUGAACGUCGAACGCUCGCAGAUCCUUUCGAGAUUUAUCGCGCGCUAAGAGUCGUGAAUCCAAGUCCGUACAUGACUUAUUUGCAGCUACGCGAUGACUUGAUGACAAUGCUCAUUGCUGGCCACGAAUUCCAUAACGAUGGGCCUGCUGCUGCUUCGCCAAAUGGAGAUCAGUAUUAUGACCCUCGCCGGCAACGUGAUGAAGGAGGCUAUGAUAACUGAUCAAAGCUGCAUCUUCUGGAGUACAGGGUACAGAAAUUAACAUCAAAAUUCAUCAUAAUCUUCGUCUAUUCAUCUUCGCCUUUUGUUUUAGAGAGUGAAAGUAACGAUCUGUAGUGAGAGAAAUCCCAGAAAUUGAACUCCGGCGGAAAUCCGAAUCUCCGGCGAACCAGGUCUGAGUUAUGGUGAAAAUCCGAAUCUCCAGGUAUGUUUAAUCGAAAAUCAAUUAAUUUUAUACUAUAUAUUCGUUUCAUCAGCUCAUUUCUUUCUAAAAUUUUGUUUGUUUCGUCAGCUCUUUUCUUCUUGGUUUAAAUUUUGUGAGUUGUAUCUUGAAAGUUUGAUAUUUCUGUUGCGGCCGAAAAAUGUCCACUAGUCUACACUAAACAGGUCAGGUUUCAAGUUCCUAAAUUAUGCAUUGAUUGCAUAGGUUGGGUCCGAGUAGAAUGUGUUAUCAUUGACCAGACACGGUAACGUCCUUUUGUCCAUUUACUACAUACUUCAGACAACUUGAGUGUCGGAAACUCAUAGCACAUUUUAAGACUUUGUCGUCAACACUGAAAGAUGUUGUGUCUAGUAUCGAAAGGUUUUAUGAUACUUACAAAAUGGACCCGGCAGCAAUGAACCACCUGAUAAUCUCUGGCGUGCCUACUAUAGUGGAGCACAGGGCAGCGGUCGCGGCCUUAGGGGUGACCUCCGUUGCGAUAGUGGCGGAAUGCGUGCAAAAUUUCAUUACUGCAAUGGAUUCGUUGAAGCUGAACAUGACUGCAAUUGAUCAAGUUUUCCCUUUGCUUUCUGAUCUGUCAGGUUCGCUAAAUAAAAUGUCGAUUUUACCUCCAGAUUUUGAAGGAAAGACGAAGAUGGAGGAGUGGAUCGGACGGUUAGCGAAGAUGGGGGCUGCGGAUGAGUUGACUGAGCAGCAGGCUAGACAACUUCAUUUUGACCUGGAAUCGUUUUAUAAUUCGUUUAUGGCUGCAUUACCGACAAGUGGGGCAUGAUUCUGGCAUGUAAUCUUUUACGGAGAAGAAAUAAGAUCACAGUUUUCGAAACUCAACUUUUGUCACUCGAGUCUGUGUUUGAAAUACUGUUUUGUUGCCUAGAAGUGUUGAUUGAUUUAGGGAUGUUUGGGCUUUUCUUUUUGUAAAUUGUUAAGUUUAUGGUUACAGUGGUGAUUGCAUCUGUACAAGCAUAUAUGAUAAAUUUACAUUAACAGUAAAA